UAUGGGCUCAUUUGGCUCCCUCUAGUCCUCACUUUCCUUCUCCAUGGUUUCUGCGGGGCCCCUCUACCCCUGACGUCUCCUCUCUGUAGUCUCUCGCGUGGUGGCGUCUGAGACCCGGGACCGAGAUGUGGCGGCUGCCGGGACUGCUGAGCCGAGCCCUUCACCGCCUCCAUGCGCUGAAUGCUUCAAGCUCUAUCCAUGGGAUCCCAACCCUUCCCAGCAAUGAGGAGCUCUGGAACGCCACCUCAGCACUCAGUGCUGGACAGACUCCAUCUGAACAGAGUUAUUUUCUCUCACCUGGCUGGCAGAGCGGACGGGGUCGAGAUGAUUGGGAGCAAGGGAAUGCGCAGCGACCCUUCUUGAACUUGCAGCCUCACUACACAGUCCUGGAUGCCUUCACCUGGGGCGCACUAGCUGUGCUUGUUCUGCAGUUGGCCAGGCAGAUCCCAUGGCUGAGCCCCGUGCCAGGGGCAGGAAGAGAGGAUGGGCAUCCCCGUGUGGGUGGGCUCCUCUCUUCUCUGCUGCCCCAUCAGCACUCAGUGCCAGCUGCAGGCUCAUCCAGUUGCCACAGUAACCAAAAGGUGCCCUGCUUCCUGCUGGGAGGAAUUCCAGACGCUGCACCAGAGAAUCCAUCCCCUGGCAUCCCCUCAGGGCAAGGAAAGCCUCAGCGCUGCCCAGAAACAGGGGAGCGUCCAUUCCCUGAGAGCUGCAGCACCAGCCUGGGACCAGCCCACUGCAGUGCACAGGGGCUGUCAUUUUCCACUCUGCAGGGGAAGCCAGCACAGCAGGAAUGCCUGGAGGAAGCAGCUACCCAGCUGCAGGAGGUGUUCCGGGUCAGCGUUUCCACUGCGCUCAAUAUCCGUGGGAUUGAGAGUGUGAGUGAUGGCCACUACAGGGCAGCCUAUUCCUGCUUCAAGCUGGCAGCAGAUCGGGGCUACAGCAAAGCCCAGUUCAACGUGGGCCUGUGUUAUGAGCAUGGCAGAGGCACGGAGAAAGACCUGGCAAAGGCAGCUCUCUAUUACCAUCGUGCAGCCAGCAAUGGGCACCCCACGGCCCAGUACCGCUAUGCCAGGUUCCUCUUACGCCAUGGGCUCAACACUGAAGGGGCUGACAUGCAGAAGGCUGUGACUCUGCUGGAGCAGGCAGCAGCAGCAGGGCUAGUGGAGGCACAGGCCUACCUUGGGGUGCUCUACAUGAAGGGGCUGCAGUCUGCAAAGCAGAGGGCUCUGAAAUACCUGUGGCUGGCGGCCAAGAAUGGGGAUUCCCAUAGCAGAUACCUUGUUGGUGUUUGCUAUGAGAAGGGCCUUGGAGUACAACAGAACUUCGCAGAAGCAAUGGAGCAUUACCAGCACUCGGCUGCUGCAGGAAACAGACAUGCUCAGGAGAGAGUGCAAGUUGUUGAGCAGGAGAUGGCAGCUGCAGAGAGCAGCCAUCCAGCACCUUCUGGAAUGAGAGCGUUCUCCUCCAGCCCCUGCCUCUGGGUCCUGGAGCAACUAGCAGAGCAGCGCCAGGCCUCUCCGAUGGGAUGUCGUGCUUUACCCCUGCCCCAUUCCUGGAGCACAGGCAGCCUGGCAGGGGCUGACGUCAGCUGACUGAGAUGGAAUCCAGCCCCAGAACACUCGGCAAGUCUAUUGGAUUCUUCCCGCCUGGAGCCACAGCCAGUGCUCUAUUCUCAGGGGAUAGCACUUGGCUAGUAGGGUCCUCUGCUCUGCUCCCUUCCUCCUUACUGGUCAGCUGAUUUCCAGGCCAGGCUUCUAUCUAGCUGGGCUUCUUGCUCCCCCACCCCCUGGGCUGCACGCUGGACCCUGAUACACCUCAGCCUGGCUCCUGCCCCUGUGGGAAAGCUGGAGAACAUGAGGCAGCUGUGGGCAGUUCCCAGCCAGGGAUACAGAAACCACAGUGUCAGUCAUCUGGUGCAGCACCAUGGGGGAUGUGGGAGGAAAAUGCUGAAUUCUGAGGCAUCUUGGCAAAAUGUAUUAGUCCACAGCUGUGGAAUCAUAAAGCCCAUGAACUCUGAUUGAGAGGAACAGGACAGGUCUCACCUCUCCAAGCUGUACUUUCAGUCUCUCUGAAGACUCAGGCAGGCAUUACUGUAUUGGUUACACUUGAUCACAUUUAUGAGGCUUUUGUCACAACCAUAAAGGCUAAAAAUAUUUUAAUUUUAAAUAAAAUUGAAGGUUCUGGAGCCUGA
Chrysemys picta bellii (western painted turtle) is the source of this 2191-nucleotide RNA transcript. It is a transcript of the gene named DAP3 binding cell death enhancer 1, with no coding region annotated. The record is from RefSeq and is a predicted model, not a curated record. NCBI's taxonomy places the organism in Eukaryota, Metazoa, Chordata, Testudines, Emydidae.